AGUCUUUAAAAUCGAUAUCAAAAUAAAAUAGGGUUACCAAAUCCCUUUAUACUAUAUAUAACUAAGGCCUUGGUGACUUAGUAUUCCUCCACAUCCUCGGCAAUAUCCUAACUUCCUACCACAAAGGCCAGAAGAAAAGGAAUUUUAAACCGAACGCGGCCCACAGUACGUUCGGGUCACCGCGCGACAGCCCCAGUACGUUCGGGCCACUGCCGGUUGUCACACGACGAUCACGGCCCACAGUACAUUCGGGUCACCGUGAGACAGCCCCAGUACGUUCGGGCCACUGCCGGUCACUACCCCGUCGUGCAACCACUCAGCCAUAGGCCAUGACCCCGUCUCUCUGAGUGUUCUCGACCCAGCGAAUAAUAAACCCGCCAAGUACGAGGUUGAGGAAACACUAAACACUCCUACACAUGCCUAUACGGCUAAAAUAUAACUAAUACUAAACCCGGUAAUAUAAUCAAGGUUCCAAGCAAUACUCAUAAUCAACACAAUCAAUCAUAUUCUAGAAUCUAGCAUAAAGUCUAGUUCCAGAAUACCUAACUAUCCACAACCUAGCAAUAUUAUCUAAGCAAUCAACGUUCUCUAACUAACCAAUCAACCUAACGAUUAGCAUGCUACUAAGAUUCUCACGCAAUAACUAAGCAUGCUACUAACUAAUCAACCUAACCCUUACUACUAACUAAACAAACCAUUACUCAGUUUAGACCUGGCCUCCUGCCAUGAUCCAACUUCCAAGUAAUGGGAACCUGCAUGAAAACAACUUAACAAACAAUUGAUUAUAACUCACAGUUUUUGGUUCCCUGAACCCGUCUUCUGCAAUCCGAACCCUUUCUUGAACCUUCACACGUAGACCCACGUCUGAACUGAUCUUCAGUUGAGCAGAACCUUCUUCAGUUGAGCAGAACAGGUAGGGACAAGGGGAAUCCGACUGUUUAAUUAAAAACAAACAUUGCGAUGGUCCCUGCGGAUCAUAACGCAAUGUGAUUUCUGCCCAGUGCUCUGAAUGUCAAAAGGAAGAAAUUCAACCACGCGCGGGUAAACGGCGGGAGUAACUAUGAAUUUCUUAAGGUAGCCAAAUGCAUCGUCAUCUAAUUAGUGACGCGCAUGAAUGGAGUAACGAGAUUCCCACUGUCCUGUCUACUAUCCAGCGAAACCACAGCCAAGGGAACGGGCUUGGCAGAAUCAGCGGGAAAGAAGACCCUGUUGAGCUUGAUUCUAGUCCGACUUUGUGAAAAGACUUGAGAGGUGUAGAAAAAGUGGGAGCUCCGGCGCAAGUGAAAUACCACUAUUAACGUUAUUUUUCUUACUCCGUGAAUCGGAGGUGGGGUAACAACCCCUUCUUUAAGACCCAAGACUCGCUUCGGCGGGUCGAUCCGGGCAGAGGACAUUGUCAGGUGGGGAGUUUGGCUGGGGCGGCACAUCUUUUAAAAGAUAACGCAGGCGCCCUAAGAUGAGCUCAACGAAAACAGAAAUCUCAUGUGGAACAAAAAGGUAAAAGCUCGCUUGAUUCUGAUUUUAAGUAAGAAUACGAACCGUGAAAGAGUGGCCUAUCGAUCCUUUAGACCUUCAGAAUUUGAAGCUAGAGUUGUCAGAAAAGUUACCACAAGGAUAACUGGCUUGUGGCAGCCAAGCGUUCAUAGCGACGUUGCUUUUUGAUUCCUCGAUGUCGGCUCUUCCUAUCAUGUUGAAGCAGAAUUCCACCAGUGUUGGAUUGUUCAC
Molecule: ribosomal RNA, 1725 nt
Filed under: Brassica rapa (field mustard)
Lineage: Eukaryota; Viridiplantae; Streptophyta; Magnoliopsida; Brassicales; Brassicaceae
Description: eukaryotic LSU rRNA
Rfam family: Eukaryotic large subunit ribosomal RNA (bases 744-1725)
Source: RNAcentral